RNAcentral lists this ribosomal RNA (254 nucleotides) under uncultured bacterium. RNAcentral describes it as "partial 16S ribosomal RNA". It matches the Rfam family "Bacterial small subunit ribosomal RNA", at positions 524 to 777 of the family's 1533-position model. The record is from RNAcentral.
UACGGAGGGAGCUAGCGUUAUUCGGAAUUACUGGGCGUAAAGCGCACGUAGGCGGCUUUGUAAGUUAGAGGUGAAAGCCCAGAGCUCAACUCUGGAAUUGCCUUUGAUACUGCAUCGCUUGAAUCCAGGAGAGGUGAGUGGAAUUCCGAGUGUAGAGGUGAAAUUCGUAGAUAUUCGGAAGAACACCAGUGGCGAAGGCGGCUCACUGGACUGGUAUUGACGCUGAGGUGCGAAAGCGUGGGGAGCAAACAGGG